Pelobates cultripes (western spadefoot toad) is the source of this 131-nucleotide non-coding RNA. The record is from the annotation of a GenBank genome assembly. Lineage: Eukaryota; Metazoa; Chordata; Amphibia; Anura; Pelobatidae.
GUAUGUAUCUGUUUGUCAAGGUGUGUGUAUCUGUGUUUGUAUGUGCCAGUGUGUGUGAAUCUGAAACGCAGAUACACACAUGCUGGCAGAUAAUGGCACACAGAUACACACACCUUGACACACAAUGUAUA